AUUUCUCUGAGAUGUUUGCCAGCGGGCCAGUCCCCUGAGCCGAUAUUUACAACCAACAGAAUGUUAUGCUUGUGGUUGGUGCGCAUGCUCGGUCCGUCCGAGAAGCCUAAAAACUGCGACGUGACGUUCACCUUGAACCAAGGGUUCAAGGGUUACAGCCUGCGGCGGCAUCUCGGAGAUUCC
Lonsdalea quercina is the source of this 183-nucleotide non-coding RNA. It matches the Rfam family "6S / SsrS RNA". Rfam says of the family: E. coli 6S RNA was the first non coding RNA to be sequenced, but its function was unknown until recently. It consists of 184 nucleotides that fold into an extended hairpin structure with a large single-stranded internal bulge. The record is from Rfam. Lineage: Bacteria; Pseudomonadati; Pseudomonadota; Gammaproteobacteria; Enterobacterales; Pectobacteriaceae.